Esox lucius (northern pike) is the source of this 783-nucleotide long non-coding RNA. RefSeq lists it as uncharacterized. The transcript is spliced from 4 exons. Lineage: Eukaryota; Metazoa; Chordata; Actinopteri; Esociformes; Esocidae. The record is from RefSeq and is a predicted model, not a curated record.
UGCAAGCAUGAUGCUAUUCAUUCAAACCCUGUGAAAGAAAGUCCUGUUCCCUUCACAUCUGUCUGUGAGAUUCUAGGAGCCCCAGAGGCUUUCACACAUGCCACAGAGCAAGCGGUUCACAGUUCCAGCUUCAGCCUUUGAUACAACCUGGAUUAAAAUAUUUUUUUUCAAGUUAGAAAAAUGAAGAUGUUCAUACUGCUUGCUCUCCUGAGUGGGGGUUUUACUGCUCCAUUUGUGAAGGAAGAAGAAGCAAAGCAAUUAAUCAGAUUGAAGAGACAAUCCGGAUACUGGGACCCCAACCACUCCCAGAAUCAGUGGGGUUACACUGUUCAGGAACAGGUGUCAUCUAGGGAUUUUUUAUUGCAUUGUCCUGUCCAGGCUUUUCUACAUGUACAAAAUACAUAGUGUUUGUGUUUGCACAUUAUAUUAAAUAUUUCUAUUUCCAACAAAGGCUGAUGAGUACUGGACUGUUAUCCGAACCAAUGCUCAGUAUUACAUGGAUAUGGGGCACUUGAUGUUUGACCGUUCUGUGGCUACUGAAAACAACCGUCUCUAUAUGGACAUGCUACGGAAUGCUCGUGCUCACCUUGACAGCCAGACAAACAGACAGUGACAGAUGGUCUGUAGAAGAUCUGUGGAGUUCCUGAGCGGCCACUGUUGAAACAUAUUACAUUUUUGCCCAUGCUUGUUUAGUUUCUGAAGAUAUAGCACAGGCUUCUGUAACUUUCUGAAAUGCAUGUAACAUAAAGGAUAUGAAUAAAAACAUUUAUAGGAUUUAUAAAC